Molecule: small nuclear RNA, 306 nt
Filed under: Salvator merianae (Argentine black and white tegu)
Lineage: Eukaryota; Metazoa; Chordata; Lepidosauria; Squamata; Teiidae
Description: 7SK RNA (ENSSMRG00000011438.1)
Rfam family: 7SK RNA
About the family: 7SK was discovered as an abundant small nuclear RNA in the mid-70s but a possible function has only recently been suggested. Two independent studies have found that 7SK RNA binds the CDK9/cyclin T complex (known as elongation factor P-TEFb). P-TEFb activates transcription by phosphorylating the C-terminal domain of RNA polymerase II.
Source: Rfam by way of RNAcentral
GGAUAUGAAGGUGAUCUGGCUGGAGCAUCUAUCUGAUUGAUCACUAGGGUGAUUCAGUUGAUCUGGUAGGCUACAUAGGUGUGUCCUCCCACCCUCAAUGCUCUAUCCCUCCCAAUGCUGUGUGCUUGGUGGUAGAAGAUGACCAUCCAUUCCAGAUAGAAAGAAUGUAUCAUUCAUUGGUCAAGGAUAUACAAUAGCUGUGUUCCUUUGCCAGAACUUCCAAACAAGAUCAAGGUAUAUCCACAACCAUAUGAAGAGAAAGCAAACUGAUAAAGUUUCUCUCAGCCAUCAGAAUCUGCACAAGAU